Molecule: ribosomal RNA, 423 nt
Filed under: uncultured bacterium
Lineage: Bacteria
Description: partial 16S ribosomal RNA
Rfam family: Bacterial small subunit ribosomal RNA
Source: RNAcentral
AAUUUUGGACAAUGUGUGAAACCCUGAUCCAGCCAUCCCGCGUGUAUGCUGAAGGCCUUCGGUUUGUAAAGUACUUUUGGCAGAGAAGAAAAUGUACCUCCUAAUACGCGCUACUGCUGACGGUAUCUGCAGAAUAAGCACCUGCUAACUACGUGCCAUCAGCCGCGGUAAUACGUAGGGUGCAAGCGUUAAUCGGAAUUACUGGGCGGACAGCGUGGGUAGGCAGGUCGGAAAGAAAGAUGUGAAGUCCCAGGGCUCAACCUUGGAACUGCAUUUUUAACUGCCGAGCUAGAGUAUGUCAGAGGGGGGUAGAAUUCCACGUGUAGCAGUGAAAUGCGUAGAUAUGUGGAGGAAUACCGAUGGCGAAGGCAGCCCCCUGGGAUAAUACUGACGCUCAGACACGAAAGCGUGGGGAGCAAACAG